This 372-nucleotide ribosomal RNA is filed under the name uncultured organism. RNAcentral's name for it is "bacterial SSU rRNA". It matches the Rfam family "Bacterial small subunit ribosomal RNA", at positions 526 to 895 of the family's 1533-position model. The record is from RNAcentral.
CGUAGGGUGCGAGCGUUAAUCGGAAUUACUGGGCGUAAAGCGUGCGCAGGCGGCGCCGCAAGUCAGGCGUGAAAUCCCCGGGCUUAACUUGGGAAUGGCGCUUGAAACUACGGUGCUGGAGUGUGGCAGAGGGAGGUGGAAUUCCACGUGUAGCGGUGAAAUGCGUAGAGAUGUGGAGGAACACCGAUGGCGAAGGCAGCCUCCUGGGCCAACACUGACGCUCAUGCACGAAAGCGUGGGGAGCAAACAGGAUUAGAUACCCUGGUAGUCCACGCCCUAAACGAUGAUGACUAGUUGUUGGGGGAGUUAAAUCCCUUAGUAACGCAGCUAACGCGUGAAGUCAUCCGCCGUGGGGAGUACGGUCGCAAGAUU